Molecule: ribosomal RNA, 570 nt
Filed under: uncultured bacterium
Lineage: Bacteria
Description: bacterial SSU rRNA
Rfam family: Bacterial small subunit ribosomal RNA
Source: RNAcentral
AGAGUUUGAUCCUGGCUCAGGAUGAACGCUGGCGGUAUGCCUAACACAUGCAAGUCGUACGAGGGCUUUUAACUCUAGUGGCGGACGGGUGAGUAACACGUGAGAAUUUGCCUUUAGGAGGGGGAUAACAAUCGGAAACGAAUGCUAAUACCCCAUAUGCUUUUGAGUGAAAUGGAUUUAUCUGCCUAAAGAGAAGCUCGCGGCUGAUUAGCUUGUUGGUAAGGUAAGAGCUUACCAAGGCGACGAUCAGUAUCUGGUUUGAGAGGACGAUCAGACACACUGGAACUGAGACACGGUCCAGACUCCUACGGGAGGCAGCAGUGGGGAAUUUUCCGCAAUGGGCGAAAGCCUGACGGAGCAAUACCGCGUGAGGGAAGACUGCCUAUGGGUUGUAAACCUCUUUUUUCAGGGAGGAAUAAAUUGACGUGUACCUGAAGAAUAAGCAUCGGCUAACUCCGUGCCAGCAGCCGCGGUAAGACGGAGGAUGCAAGUGUUAUCCGGAAUCACUGGGCGUAAAGCGUCUGUAGGUGGUUUAAUAAGUCAACUGUUAAAUCUUGAGGCUCAACUUCA